This 6537-nucleotide long non-coding RNA is filed under the name Zea mays. Its description in RNAcentral is "long non-coding RNA (ZMAY_LNC003603)". The record is from RNAcentral. Lineage: Eukaryota; Viridiplantae; Streptophyta; Magnoliopsida; Poales; Poaceae.
AAAUCAAUGUCAUAUCUUUAUUACUUAAUAGAAAUUCUGUACAAAAUAACUAAAAGAUAUUACACCAUAUGGCGACGACGAUCCUCCACAAUCCCUAGUUGACUGGGAGACGAUGGCCUAGAUCUCUCCAAACUCAUCUUCAUCAGAGUCUUCCUCCACUUCUGGAUGCACCUGUUCUUAACCUGGGGAGUUUAGCAAGGGUGAGCUCCCAUACGGUCAUCGCUCAACAAGUUGUGGGAAAUAGUGUAGUGUAAGGCUUACCAAAGAGAAUGAUUAAGGCUGAGCAUUGCUUUUAAUAAGUUGGUCAAAAUUUUAUUAGCAGUUACUAAGUAUAAGUAUAUACCAUCCCAGUUAAAUAAUUGAUCACAAUUAGUAAUAAAUCCCACAAUGCAAUGCAAUGCAUGUCAAAUUGAGUUUAGUUCCAUAAUUUACUCAUGUGAGGGUCCGAGCCGCUCUUGACCGUGAGCAUGGCUGAUAUACCAGUUUUAUACUCUGCAGAGGUUGCACAUCUUAACCCACAAGUCGUGUUACCCAUUUGCCACGGGGUCAUGAAUCCCAUACAUCUCUACCGAGGAGACGAGGCAGGGUAUCACUACGAGGCCUUUACAAAGUUCCACUAGCUUCAGAAAACCCGCUACAGUUUCAUGAGAAGAGCGAUACAGGAAUCCCUCGUCCAAAAAGCCAUCGCAGCAUGAUUGACCCGAGAACCUCCCUAUACCGGCAACUCCUCUACCGCCCUUGCCCCUUUCGGGUAAGGUAGUCCUCCACUAGCUUUCCUAAUUAGUUAGCCAAGGGCGUCCCAUUCCACCCCUAUGGUAGCACUGUUUUCUCGGGUGGUUCUCCAUGUUCCAGUUAACAAAAUGAUCUUAUCAUGAACAAUAAUAGAUAACCAACAAUAAUAAAUCAUAUUGGAACAUGGUCAUGAAUCAUAGUAUCAUUAGCCCAAAAACCAGGUAGAGCACUAGCAAGACUACCCAAUAAUUCAUUUGUACACAAGGUGCAGGGUAAACAAAUCUAGGUAACCUAUUAGGUCCCAUCAGCUUAACCUAACAGUGUCACGGUGAUUAAGAAUAAUGAACAUUAUUAGGUUAAAGAAUGUGAUCAAGGACACAACUUGCCUUUUUGGUGCAAACUCCAGGUACUUCUCCAAUUUGAUCUUCAGGUUCCUUGUCGUAACCUCGCUUCUAUCGUAGCAAAACAUAUAUAUAGGCAAACAAUGAACAAAAAUAACAUUACAUCAAACAUGAGAACAAACUGCAUAAGAAUAUUCUACGCGUCGAGACGAGACCGUGGGUUCGAGAACCACUAAAAUCGGAGCUAAAACGUGGAAGAUGUAAAUUAAACAAGUUUUAGCAAUUAUUUUCAUACUAAAAAUUGAUUUAUAUAUUCAAUUUACCAAUAUUUAAUUACUGUUGGACGACUAGAUAUAUUUUUAAAUAAGUUCAGGGUGUAUUCUGUAAAUUCCGGGACCUAGAUUCUAUUCCCAUUCGAAACAGGGGGAGGAUGAGUCGUAAGGGGAAAAAGAAAAAAUGGCGCUCGGUCCCCUGGGCCGGUUCUUCUUCCUCCAGCGCCCUUCCCUCCCCUUCGCUUGGUUCGCAGUGUCGUGUGGCGCGGUCUCCUGCUGUUGGGCCGCUUCCUUCGUGCCUCUCCUUGGCCCAGGGAUACAGUAUCCCGGCUCAGGCGCCGAAGCGGUCCCUGGAUUGGCGUCCUUCUUGGAUCGGAUGGAAUCAAGGCGUCACGCCGCUCCCUUCUCGCCUGCUUCCCCUCACGCGUGAGUCGUCUCGUUCGCUGUCUUCUCCGCCCGUAAACCCCUCUCCAUCGUUAGGGUUUCCUCCGGAUUUUGUUGGUGCGUAUUCUUUUCCUCACUGCGCCGCCUUUCUCUCGCACCUCUGGUCUCUCCCGUCUUCGGUGAGAUCUAGUUUUGGCGGAGGUUGGUGCGUUUCGCCUUUUCGGCCGCCGGUGGUUGAGGAGGAGUGGCCGCUUCUGGGGUCUGGCGGUUUUCGAAGUCCUUCGAAAAUCUCUACUAUGGAUCCGAAAGGAAAGAAUCCUCAGAACUCCCAAUGGGAUCGUUGGGGUCCGAUGGAGAAGCCGCAAGGUUCUCAUUCUUGGAACAGACCAAGAAACCUAAGCUGGAAGCUGAAGCCGAACGUUGGCAAAUCUGAACAGCAGGAGGGGGUGUUGUCCCCCAAUCCUGGUGAGGGAUCUCAACCAGGUAACCCAGCGGUCUCUCCUGUUCCUUUGAAGAAAGAUCUUGAUCUUGUUCGUCCUGCGUUCUGUCAGAAAUGUGGUGCUGGAGGUCAUCAUGCCAGACAGUGUUUUAACGCUUUGUGGUGUGAUAUUUGCCGUAAGGAAACACAUGUCACAGCCCGCUGUGUUCUUCCUAGGCAGAACAAACCCACCAUGCCCAUUGUUGGUUUGGCUGCUGAUGGAUUAGGGUUUUAUCUGUCUCAUUUCGCUAAACCUUUGAUCAAAAAACCAAAGAGGGUUUUUAUCGGUCUGGUUAAAGUGAUUGAGGGAUUAGUCUCGGCUGAAUAUCUUGAGAGGGAUUUCAGUUUUCACUUCCCUUGGAACAAGAGGUGGAAAGCUACUAAGUGCCAUUCGGGGUUUCUGAUGCAGUUCCCCUCCCAAGAACGUCUUGAGGAAAUGAUAAGCUUCCCGGAGCUUAAAAUGAAGAUGUCUGGGGCCAAGAUUGCUGUUGUGCCUUGGAGUUCUAGGGCCAAACCUAAAUCCAGGCUUCAUACUGUGUGGGUUAUUGCUGAAAAUGUUCCUGAGGAAUUGCAGAACUACCAGUCUAUCUGUGAAAUUGGUUCAAUGAUUGGUGCAGUUGAGGAAGUUGACCUUAUGUCCCUGGAUUCAGAUGACAUUGUGAGAUUUAAAAUUCACAUUAAAAGUGUGGCGAUGAUUCCCCCAGUGGUGGAAGUGGCUGUCAAGCCUUUUCUCUAUGAUAUCUUCUUUAGAAUUGAAUCUAUUUGUGAUGAAGGAUGGAAUGAUGAUUCUGUGAAUUUGGGCAAGAGAGCCUCUGUUCAAAUUCAUGGGUCUAAUGAUCCACUUUUUGAUAAAUCUGGGAAAAAACCCAAGAACUUGGAUGACGUUAACCUUGAAGACGACCCUAAUCAUAACCUUAAAAUUGGGGAGUCCUCUUCUCAAGGCAAAGAGUUUGCCAAAAUGUCUGAUCCUACCCUUGUGUCUGCUAAAGAUUUGUCAGAUGAAGAGCAGAAAUUGGAGAAUCUUUCGGAUGAGAAAGUGGAUUUUGAUCCAAAUGAAGAUGACUUGCUUAGCUCUCAAGAACUGGAAGAAUUCGCUAAGGAUAUGGAGGAAGACCAAACUGAUUUUCAAUCUAGAAUUGAUGCAAUGAUCUCGAUCCCCCCUAAUGUUGAGAUUGCUCGUGAUGGGAAGAACAAAAAGAAUCUGGACUUGCCUGCUAACAUGGCUGAUGGCGUCAGGAAAAGCUCUAGACUGGAGAAGAAUGAUGAUGUGAAGGUGGCUGACAAAGCGAUUUACAGAGCCGAAGCCAAAGACGCCUUCCUCAAUAAAGGUAUGUGCUCUAACUCCUUCUCCUUACUUGAUUCUAAUAAUGAUGACCUGAUAGAUUUAGCUAAUAAACUUGGAGUUUCUUUGGGUCCCUCUGACUCUGAUAUGAUUGAUAAUUUGGAGUUGAUCAAGGAUCUGGAACGGUCCAGAAAAAUUUUGGCCUUCCAAGCUUGCAAAGAAAAUAUUUCCUCAAGUGUGGAGGUCCCCUUCAUUGUUGAUCACAAAAGUGUGGAUAGUAGCAUCCAUAAUGAGUCUGAUCUGAAUAUUGAUUAGGACUUUUAUGAUGUGAUGGUCUUAAGAAAAGGUAGAAAGAUUAAGCAUCGGAAAAAACCGAUUAAAAAAAAGGCUUCCCCAAAAAGUAGAGGUUCAUCUACGAAAAAACGGGAGCCUGAUUGUUCUGUCCUCCCUCCUGAUCCGUUUUAAAUCAUGAGAGGCCUCAUUUGGAAUUGCCAGGGUUUGGGUCGCAACUCUAAAUUUGAUUUCCUGAGAGAAACCAUUAGGGAUGAGAAUAUUGAUUUCGUUGGUUUACAAGAAACUAAAAAGGUUCAUUUUAAUGACUCUCUUCUGUCCUCUCUUGCUGGUAGCAAGCUCUUUGCCUGGUUCUCCUCUCCUCCUAAUGGGAGAUCGGGAGGCCUGCUUGUGGGGUUUAAUUAUGAGGUUUUUGAUGUCAGAGAAUUUGAAGCUGGUGAAUUCUUAUCUCGCUCCCUUGUCCUCCAUAGAGAAAAAAAUUUUAUUUGGAAUUUUGUUAAUGUUUAUGGGGCUGCCCAAAAUGAGCAUAAAUCCCGUUUCCUCAGUGAAUUGUCUGCAAUGUGUUCGAGAAGUCAGGUUCCUAUGCUUAUUGGUGGUGAUUUCAAUAUUAUCAGAAGAGCUGAGGAAAAGAAUAAGCCUGGUACCCUCAGCAAGUGGAGUUUUUUGUUUAACAGUAUCAUUGAUCAGCAUGGUCUUGUGGAAUUUGAGCUGAAAAACAGACUAUAUACGUGGUCUAACAACCGUAACGAUCCUACCUUUGAAAAACUUGACAGAUUUUUGGCCAGUCCUGACUGGGAUCUUGCUUAUAAUAAUCUUAGUGUUAUUGGGUUAAAUCGAUCCUUUUCGGAUCAUGUUCCCCUUUGCCUUCAUUCUGAUUCCCGGCCCAUGAUGCGUAAGGACUUUCGUUAUGAGCUGUGCUGGAAGGUUAGGCCUGACUUUCACAAUUUAGUGGAAAAUGUUUGGGCUCUUCCGGUUGGUGUGUCCAAUAGUCUGGAUGUUUGGAAGGUGAAAUUGAAACGUCUGCGUCAAAAGCUUAAGGGUUGGAACAGAAAUAUUGUAGGUCAUUACAAAAAAGUGAAGAAAUCCUUGAUUGAGAAAAUUGAUAUUUUGGAUAAAACUAGUGAGACUUCUGGCUUAUCUGAGGCUGACAGGUAUUUGAAAUUAGAUUUGGAAUCUAACCUCAGGAAGAUUGUUAAUGAGGAAAACAUUAGCCUUAGACAAAAAGCGAGAGACAAAUUCUUAUUAGAAGGUGAUGAGAAUUCUAAGUAUUUUCAUUUACUGGCUAAACACAAAAAAAGGAAACUGAAAAUUGUGUCGCUUUCUCACGGUGAUAAUGUGGCUCAUGAUGAUCUUGGCAUUAAUCAGUUGGCGACUUCUUUUUACAAGGAUCUCUUUGGUCCUUCUCAGGGAUCGAAUAUUUCUUUGGCUAAUUUGGACAUGAAACAGCUUGAGGAGGGUGAUAGAGAUCUUCUUACCAGCCCUUUUUCCUUGGAAGAGAUUAAAGAUGUGGUGUUUGCUUUGAAACACAAUAGUGCUCCGGGCCCCGAUGGCUUCCCUGCUGAAUUUUUUCAGGAGUUUUGGGAUGUUAUAAAGGGUGAUUUGUUUAAUCUCUUUAAAGCUUUUCAUGAUGGUUCUCUCAACAUUGAGAGACUUAAUUUUGGUGUUGUCACUCUUAUCCCUAAGGUCCCUGAUGCGACUGAUAUCAAAGCUUUUCGCCCCAUUUGCUUGCUUAAUGUUUGCUACAAAAUCAUCACCAAAGUUCUUACUAAUAGACUGGCCCGGUGCAUUACCUCAGUGAUUAGUGAUCUUCAGUAUAGGUUUAUCAAAGGAAUAUACAUUAUGGAUGGUGUUCUUUCUCUACAUGAGAUUAUCCAUGAAGUUAAACGUAAAAAACAAGAUGGGGUUAUUUUCAAAGUUGAUUUUGAAAAAGCUUAUGACAAGGUUAACUGGAAUUUUCUUCAUAAUAUGAUGCUGAAAAAAGGCUUUGGUGAUAAGUGGAGUGAUUGGGUUUUGAAGACUGUGAAAGGUGGUAAAGUUGCUAUCCGUACUAAUGAUGUGGUCGGGCCCUACUUCAAAACCCAUAAAGGUGUUCGCCAAGGUGAUCCUUUCUCCCCUCUCCUUUUUAAUGUGGCUGCCGAUGGUCUUGCUUGUCUGAUUCAAAAAGCCAAGGAUGAAGGUAUUAUUAAAGGUCUUAUUCCCCAUAUUAUUUCUGGUGGCUGCUGUUGCCUUCAAUAUGCUGAUGACACAAUUUUCCUGUUUCAAGAUGAUUUGGAAAAUGCUAGAAAUUUGAAGUUUAUUCUCUGCAUCUUUGAACAGAUUUCUGGUCUUAAAAUCAACUUCCAUAAAAGUGAAAUUAUCUGUUUGGGAAAUGCUCACAAUAGAGAGCAUUUGUAUGCUGACAUCUUCACCUGUCCUCCCAGUGGUCUCCCUAUGAAAUAUUUAGGGGUCCCUAUUGAUAACAAAAAACUGUGCAAAUCUUUGUGGGAGCCCAUAGUUGGAAAGAUUGAGAACAAGUUGGGUUCCUGGCAAGGGCGUUUUCUUAGUUUGGGUGGUCGGCUUGUCUUGAUUAACAGCAGCCUCACCAAUGUUCCCUUAUACAUGCUCUCCCUGUAUAAAUGUCCCAAAGUUGUGAUGAAAAAAAUGGAUAUCUUUAGGAAAAGAUUAUUAUGGCAGGGAGGUCAUGACCAGAAAAAAUACCAUUUGGCUGCGUGGAAUUUAGUUUGCUCUCCCAAAAAUAUGGGUGGUCUUGGUGUUUUG